GAGAUGGAUUUGUGCCUUCGGGAACUGUGAGACAGGUGCUGCAUGGCUGUCGUCAGCUCGUGUUGUGAAAUGUUGGGUUAAGUCCCGCAACGAGCGCAACCCUUAUCCUUUGUUGCCAGCGGUUAGGUCGGGAACUCAAAGGAGACUGCCAGUGAUAAACUGGAGGAAGGUGGGGAUGACGUCAAGUCAUCAUGGCCCUUACGACCAGGGCUACACACGUGCUACAAUGGCGCAUACAAAGAGAAGCGA
Molecule: ribosomal RNA, 249 nt
Filed under: Salmonella enterica
Lineage: Bacteria; Pseudomonadati; Pseudomonadota; Gammaproteobacteria; Enterobacterales; Enterobacteriaceae
Also listed under: 2 other names
Description: partial 16S ribosomal RNA
Rfam family: Bacterial small subunit ribosomal RNA
Source: RNAcentral